UACGUAGGGGGCAAGCGUUAUCCGGAUUUACCGGGUGUAAAGGGAGCGUAGACGGCAAAUCAAGUCUGAAGUGAAAUCCCGCGGCUCAACCGCGGAACUGCUUUGGAGACUGGUUAGCUAGAGUGCAGGAGAGGUAAGUGGAAUUCCUAGUGUAGCGGUGAAAUGCGUAGAUAUUAGGAGGAACACCAGUGGCGAAGGCGGCUUACUGGACUGUAACUGACGUUGAGGCUCGAAAGCGUGGGGAGCAAAC
RNAcentral lists this ribosomal RNA (250 nucleotides) under uncultured prokaryote. RNAcentral's name for it is "partial 16S ribosomal RNA". It matches the Rfam family "Bacterial small subunit ribosomal RNA", at positions 524 to 773 of the family's 1533-position model. The record is from RNAcentral.